CCGAAUUCCUGGUCAAAACUAAUAACUCAAAUAUUUCUCAGUGAAAAUUGCUAGUAUUACUAUACCUAUAGUUUUUUGGCUUGCUGGUUUCGGAAAUGAAUGCAAAAAUGCUAAAUUCAAAAUGGCGGAUAUCUUUUACAAAAAAUACUUUACCUCGGAUGAUAACUUUCGAUUUUGGGGGUUUUGGCCAAGAAUUCGGGCUUUUGGACCACGGUGCACCGUGAAAAAAAAAUGUGAGUCGUCACGGGAUGCCUGGCAGAUGUGAAACAUCGAUAUUAUUUUGU
This is a long non-coding RNA of Neodiprion fabricii, 284 nucleotides long. RefSeq lists it as uncharacterized. The record is from RefSeq and is a predicted model, not a curated record. NCBI's taxonomy places the organism in Eukaryota, Metazoa, Arthropoda, Insecta, Hymenoptera, Diprionidae. The transcript is spliced from 2 exons.